This 445-nucleotide ribosomal RNA is filed under the name uncultured bacterium. RNAcentral's name for it is "SSU rRNA". It matches the Rfam family "Bacterial small subunit ribosomal RNA", at positions 26 to 518 of the family's 1533-position model. The record is from RNAcentral.
AGAGCGAACGCUGGCGGCAGGCUUAACACAUGCAAGUCGAGCGGGCGUAGCAAUACGUCACCGGCGGACGGGUGCGUAACGCGUGGGAAUGUACCUAUUGGUUCGGAACAACUGAGGGAAACUUCAGCUAAUACCGGAUGAGCCCGAAAGGGGAAAGAUUUCUCGCCAAUAGAUCAGCCCGCGUCCGAUUAGCUAGUUGGUGGGGUUAAAGCCUACCAAGGCGACGAUCGGUAGCUGUUCUGAGAGGAAGAUCAGCCACACUGGGACUGAGACACGGCCCAGACUCCUACGGGAGGCAGCAGUUGGGAAUCUUGGACAUGGGGGAACCCUGAUCCAGCCAUGCCGCGUGAGUGAUGAAGGCCUUCGGGUUGUAAAACUCUUUCGGACGGGACGAUAAUGACGGUACCCGUAGAAGAGCUCCGGCUAACUUCGCGCCAGCAGCCGC